This 625-nucleotide ribosomal RNA is filed under the name uncultured fungus. RNAcentral describes it as "eukaryotic LSU rRNA". It matches the Rfam family "Eukaryotic large subunit ribosomal RNA", at positions 24 to 664 of the family's 3401-position model. The record is from RNAcentral. Lineage: Eukaryota; Fungi.
CCCGCUGAACUUAAGCAUAUCAAUAAGGCGAGGAACAGAAACCAACAGGGAUUCCCCCAGUAGUGGCGAAUGAAGCGGGAAAAGCUCAAGUUUGAAAUCUGAAGUCCACUUCAGAGUUGUAAGCUGAAGGGGUGUCGACCGACUUGGUCCGGGCCCAACUUCCUUGGAACAGGAGGUCAUGGAGGGUGAGAACCCCGUCUGUGGCUCGGGUGCCGUAGUCCUUGUGUCGUGCCCUCGAAGAGUCGGGUUGUUUGGGAAUGCAGCUCAAAAUGGGUGGUAAAUUUCAUCUAAGGCUAAAUAUUGGCAAGAGACCGAUAGCAAACAAGUAGAGUGAUCGAAAGAUGAAAAGUACUUUGAAAAGAGAGUGAAACAGUACGUGAAAUUGUUGAAAGGGAAGCGUUUGGCAUCAGCCCAUGGCACCCCUCGAUCAUCUGGGCUUCUGCCUGGUGCACUUGAGGGGUUGCUGGGCCAGCGUCGACUUUGCCUGCCGGAGAAAGGCCUUGGGAAUGUGUCUCCUUUUGGAGAGUUAUAUCCCUUGGCGUCAUGCGGCAUGGCGGGGUCGAGGUCCGCGGUAUUACCUAGGACGCUGGCGUAAUGGCUUUAAGCGACCCGUCUUGAAACACGG